GGCGGCCUAAUACAUGCAAGUCGAGCGAACAGAUAAGGAGCUUGCUCCUUUGACGUUAGCGGCGGACGGGUGAGUAACACGUGGAUAACCUACCUAUAAGACUGGGAUAACUUCGGGAAACCGGAGCUAAUACCGGAUAACAUAUUGAACCGCAUGGUUCAAUAGUGAAAGGCGGCUUUGCUGUCACUUAUAGAUGGAUCCGCGCCGUAUUAGCUAGUUGGUAAGGUAACGGCUUACCAAGGCAACGAUACGUAGCCGACCUGAGAGGGUGAUCGGCCACACUGGAACUGAGACACGGUCCAGACUCCUACGGGAGGCAGCAGUAGGGAAUCUUCCGCAAUGGGCGAAAGCCUGACGGAGCAACGCCGCGUGAGUGAUGAAGGUCUUCGGAUCGUAAAACUCUGUUAUCAGGGAAGAACAAAUGUGUAAGUAACUGUGCACAUCUUGACGGUACCUGAUCAGAAAGCCACGGCUAACUACGUGCCAGCAGCCGCGGUAAUACGUAGGUGGCAAGCGUUAUCCGGAAUUAUUGGGCGUAAAGCGCGCGUAGGCGGUUUUUUAAGUCUGAUGUGAAAGCCCACGGCUCAACCGUGGAGGGUCAUUGGAAACUGGAAAACUUGAGUGCAGAAGAGGAAAGUGGAAUUCCAUGUGUAGCGGUGAAAUGCGCAGAGAUAUGGAGGAACACCAGUGGCGAAGGCGACUUUCUGGUCUGUAACUGACGCUGAUGUGCGAAAGCGUGGGGAUCAAACAGGAUUAGAUACCCUGGUAGUCC
This 772-nucleotide ribosomal RNA is filed under the name Staphylococcus sp. Fun-124. RNAcentral describes it as "bacterial SSU rRNA". It matches the Rfam family "Bacterial small subunit ribosomal RNA", at positions 41 to 796 of the family's 1533-position model. The record is from RNAcentral. Lineage: Bacteria; Bacillati; Bacillota; Bacilli; Caryophanales; Staphylococcaceae.